Molecule: ribosomal RNA, 510 nt
Filed under: Ocholissa sp. BYU CO404
Lineage: Eukaryota; Metazoa; Arthropoda; Insecta; Coleoptera; Salpingidae
Description: partial 16S ribosomal RNA
Rfam family: Bacterial large subunit ribosomal RNA (bases 383-510)
Source: RNAcentral
GUCUUUUUGAAAAUAAUUUAAAGUCUGACCUGCCCAAUGAUUAUAUUGAAUGGCCGCAGUAUUUUAACUGUGCGAAGGUAGCAUAAUCAUUAGUUUUUUAAUUGAAAGCUGGAAUGAAUGGUUUGAUAAAAAAAUAACUGUCUCAAUUAAAAUUAUAGAAUUUUAUUUUUAAGUUAAAAAGCUUAAAUUUUUUAAAAAGACGAGAAGACCCUAUAGAGUUUAAUUUAUUAAUAUUUUUUAAAUUUUAAGUUUUUAAUUUUUUUAAUUUUUUAAUAAAUUUUAUUGGGGUGAUAAAAAAAUUUAAUAAACUUUUUUUUAUUUUUACAUUAAUAAAUGAAUAUUUGAUCCUAUAAUUUAGAUUAAAAGAAAAAAUUACCUUAGGGAUAACAGCGUAAUUUUUUUUAAGAGUUCAUAUCGAAAAAAAAGAUUGCGACCUCGAUGUUGGAUUAAAGUGAAAUUUUGGUGUAGAAGUUAAAAUUUUUAAGUCUGUUCGACUUUUAAAACUUUACA